RNAcentral lists this unclassified non-coding RNA (331 nucleotides) under soil metagenome. Its description in RNAcentral is "partial contains 5.8S ribosomal RNA, internal transcribed spacer 2, and large subunit ribosomal RNA". The stretch from base 1 to 120 matches the Rfam family "5.8S ribosomal RNA", at positions 35 to 154 of the family's 154-position model. The record is from RNAcentral.
GAUGAAGAACGUAGCGAAAUGCGAUAAGUAAUGUGAAUUGCAGAAUUCAGUGAAUCAUCGAAUCUUUGAACGCACAUUGCGCCCCCUGGUAUUCCGGGGGGCAUGUCUGUUCGAGCGUCAUUUCACCACUCAAGCCUCGCUUGGUAUUGGGCAUCGCGGUCCGCCGCGUGCCUCAAAUCGACCGGCUGGGUCUUCUGUCCCCUAAGCGUUGUGGAAACUAUUCGCUAAAGGGUGUUCGGGAGGCUACGCCGUAAAACAACCCCAUUUCUAAGGUUGACCUCGGAUCAGGUAGGGAUACCCGCUGAACUUAAGCAUAUCAAUAAGCGGAGGA